UGGGGAAUCUUGGACAAUGGGCGCAAGCCUGAUCCAGCCAUGCCGCGUGGAUGAUGAAGGCCUUAGGGUUGUAAAAUCCUUUCGCCGAGGACGAUAAUGACGGUACUCGGAGAAGAAGCUCCGGCUAACUUCGUGCCAGCAGCCGCGGUAAUACGAAGGGGGCUAGCGUUGUUCGGAUUUACUGGGCGUAAAGCGCGUGUAGGCGGGUCGUUAAGUUGGGGGUGAAAUCCCGAGGCUCAACCUCGGAACUGCCUUCAAAACUGGCGACCUGGACCUAAGUAGAGGCAAGUGGAAUUGCGAGUGUAGAGGUGAAAUUCGUAGAUAUUCGCAGGAACACCAGUGGCGAAGGCGACUUGCUGGACUUAUGGUGACGCUGAGACGCGAAAGCGUGGGGAGCAAACAGGAUUAGAUACCCCUGUAGUCCCUGAGCGGGCUGGCAAGGCGC
Molecule: ribosomal RNA, 445 nt
Filed under: uncultured bacterium
Lineage: Bacteria
Description: bacterial SSU rRNA
Rfam family: Bacterial small subunit ribosomal RNA
Source: RNAcentral